This 484-nucleotide ribosomal RNA is filed under the name uncultured bacterium. RNAcentral's name for it is "partial 16S ribosomal RNA". It matches the Rfam family "Bacterial small subunit ribosomal RNA", at positions 30 to 507 of the family's 1533-position model. The record is from RNAcentral.
AUUGAACGCUGGCGGCAGGCCUAACACAUGCAAGUCGAGCGGAUGAAGGGAGCUUGCUCCUGGAUUCAGCGGCGGACGGGUGAGUAAUGCCUAGGAAUCUGCCUGGUAGUGGGGGAUAACGUCCGGAAACGGGCGCUAAUACCGCAUACGUCCUGAGGGAGAAAGUGGGGGAUCUUCGGACCUCACGCUAUCAGAUGAGCCUAGGUCGGAUUAGCUAGUUGGUGGGGUAAAGGCCUACCAAGGCGACGAUCCGUAACUGGUCUGAGAGGAUGAUCAGUCACACUGGAACUGAGACACGGUCCAGACUCCUACGGGAGGCAGCAGUGGGGAAUAUUGGACAAUGGGCGAAAGUCUGAUCCAGCCAUGCCGCGUGUGUGAAGAAGGUCUUCGGAUUGUAAAGCACUUUAAGUUGGGAGGAAGGGCAGUAAGUUAAUACCUUGCUGUUUUGACGUUACCAACAGAAUAAGCACCGGCUAACUUCGUG